GGAUUGUGGCUCAGUGGUGGAGCACUUGCCUAGCACGUGUGAGGCACUGGGUUCAAUUCUCAGCACCA
This 68-nucleotide transfer RNA is filed under the name Marmota monax (woodchuck). RNAcentral's name for it is "tRNA.Ala". The stretch from base 5 to 65 matches the Rfam family "tRNA", at positions 6 to 65 of the family's 71-position model. From Rfam's summary of the family: Transfer RNA (tRNA) molecules are approximately 80 nucleotides in length. Their secondary structure includes four short double-helical elements and three loops (D, anti-codon, and T loops). The record is from RNAcentral. Lineage: Eukaryota; Metazoa; Chordata; Mammalia; Rodentia; Sciuridae.